GCGCAAGUGGCGGAAUGGCAGACGCGCCGGGUUUAGGUCUCGGUGCCUUCGGGCGUGGGGGUUCAAGUCCCCCCUUGCGCA
This 81-nucleotide transfer RNA is filed under the name Actinomycetota bacterium. Its description in RNAcentral is "tRNA-Leu". It matches the Rfam family "tRNA". From Rfam's summary of the family: Transfer RNA (tRNA) molecules are approximately 80 nucleotides in length. Their secondary structure includes four short double-helical elements and three loops (D, anti-codon, and T loops). RNAcentral also lists the same sequence under 1 other name. Lineage: Bacteria; Bacillati; Actinomycetota. The record is from RNAcentral.